ACACUCCUGCGGGAGGCAGCAGUGGGGAAUAUUGGACAAUGGGCGCAAGCCUGAUCCAGCCAUGCCGCGUGAGUGAUGAAGGCCCUAGGGUUGUAAAGCUCUUUCACCGGUGAAGAUAAUGACGGUAACCGGAGAAGAAGCCCCGGCUAACUUCGUACCAGCAGCCGCGGUAAUACGAAGGGGGCUAGCGUUGUUCGGAUUUACUGGGCGUAAAGCGCACGUAGGCGGACUAUUAAGUCAGGGGUGAAAUCCCGGGGCUCAACCCCGGAACUGCCUUUGAUACUGGUAGUCUUGAGUUCGGGAGAGGUGAGUGGAAUUCCGAGUGUAGAGGUGAAAUUCGUAGAUAUUCGGAGGAACACCAGUGGCGAAGGCGGCUCACUGGCUCGAUACUGACGCUGAGGUGCGAAAGCGUGGGGAGCAAACAGGAUUAGAUACCCUAGUAGUCCCAUGA
This 451-nucleotide ribosomal RNA is filed under the name uncultured organism. RNAcentral's name for it is "partial 16S ribosomal RNA". It matches the Rfam family "Bacterial small subunit ribosomal RNA", at positions 333 to 800 of the family's 1533-position model. The record is from RNAcentral.